RNAcentral lists this ribosomal RNA (454 nucleotides) under Lymantria sp. SM01. Its description in RNAcentral is "partial large subunit ribosomal RNA". Lineage: Eukaryota; Metazoa; Arthropoda; Insecta; Lepidoptera; Erebidae. The record is from RNAcentral.
UGCCCACUGAUAUUAUAUAUUAAAGGGCUGCAGUAUUUUGACUGUACAAAGGUAGCAUAAUCAUUAGUCAUUUAAUUGAUGACUUGUAUGAAAGAUUGGAUGAAAUAUAAACUGUCUUUAAAGUAAAUUAUAAAAUUUAAUUUUUAAGUUAGAAAGCUUAAAUAUUUUAAAAAGACGAGAAGACCCUAUAGAGUUUUAUUAUUGAUUUGAAUAUGGGUUUUUAUAAUAAUAUUAUUUUUAUUUAAAUUAAUAAUUUUAUUGGGGUGAUAGAAAAAUUAAUUUAACUUUUUUUUUUUUUUUACAUAAAUAAGUGAUUUAAUGAUCCAAUUAUAUUGAUUAAAAGAAAAAAUUACCUUAGGGAUAACAGCGUUAUUUUAUUUUUUAGUUCAAAUAAGAAAUAGAGUUUGCGACCUCGAUGUUGGAUUAAGAUAAAAUUUAAAUGCAGAAGUUUAAA